RNAcentral lists this ribosomal RNA (468 nucleotides) under uncultured bacterium. Its description in RNAcentral is "partial 16S ribosomal RNA". It matches the Rfam family "Bacterial small subunit ribosomal RNA", at positions 28 to 507 of the family's 1533-position model. The record is from RNAcentral.
GACGAACGCUGGCGGUGUGCUUAACACAUGCAAGUCGAACGGAAAGGCCCUGCUUUUGUGGGGUGCUCGAGUGGCGAACGGGUGAGUAACACGUGAGUAACCUGCCCUUGACCUUGGGAUAACUUCAGGAAACUGGGGCUAAUACCGGAUAGGAGCUCCUGCUGCAUGGUGGGGGUUGGAAAGUUUCGGCGGUUGGGGAUGGACUCGCGGCUUAUCAGCUUGUUGGUGGGGUAGUGGCUUACCAAGGCUUUGACGGGUAGCCGGCCUGAGAGGGUGACCGGCCACAUUGGGACUGAGAUACGGCCCAGACUCCUACGGGAGGCAGCAGUGGGGAAUAUUGCACAAUGGGCGGAAGCCUGAUGCAGCAACGCCGCGUGCGGGAUGACGGCCUUCGGGUUGUAAACCGCUUUCGCCUGUGACGAAGCGUGAGUGACGGUAAUGGGUAAAGAAGCACCGGCUAACUACGUG